GGAUUAGAUACCCUGGUAGUCCACGCCGUAAACGAUGGUCACUAGCUGUUUGGUUUUCGGACUGAGUGGCUAAGCGAAAGUGAUAAGUGACCCACCUGGGGAGUACGUUCGCAAGAAUGAAACUCAAAGGAAUUGACGGGGGCCCGCACAAGCGGUGGAGCAUGUGGUUUAAUUCGAUGAUACGCGAGGAACCUUACCAGGGCUUAAAUGUAGUUUGACAGGGGUAGAGAUACCUUUUUCUUCGGACAGAUUACAAGGUGCUGCAUGGUUGUCGUCAGCUCGUGCCG
This 287-nucleotide ribosomal RNA is filed under the name uncultured bacterium. RNAcentral's name for it is "partial 16S ribosomal RNA". It matches the Rfam family "Bacterial small subunit ribosomal RNA", at positions 775 to 1067 of the family's 1533-position model. The record is from RNAcentral.